UUAUCACAAAGGCAAGGUAUAACUCAUCUCUUCCUUUCUCUUAAGCAAAUGACCUGAAUACCAUGAGGUAUCCACCCACACCUAAAAUUUAUCAUCCUAGUCAUCCCUGUUUUCUAUCAAGUUUUAUUCUUUGAUAAAAUCCCAUGAGCUUUCCCUUCAAAAUGGGUAGGAACAAACCUCAGAAUAUUCCAUCUUUAUGACACCACUGAAAAUGUUGAAUUCAGUUUUAGUGCUUUUGUUCAUUUAGAGAUCUGUCUGGGAUUCUCUUUGGAUCCUGCAAUGAUGGACUUGGUGUUGAAGCUGUAUUGAUCGGUUACUGAAGAAUUUUCCUCUGUUUCACAUCAUCUUCCCACUAAUGGUUCCCAGUUCAUAUUUUCUGGAAGAACCAGUAUGCAAGCAUGCUCUUUCCAAAUGGGGCUUUGGUAGCAGAUGGCAGGUCAAAUCCCUCAGGAAGUGAAGAUCAAGAAGAAAUGGUUGGAAAUUUUCCAGUUAACUCUGAGUAAUCAUGAGGUAAUCUGUAUAAUACAUAAACCCAUUCACACCACCUCUUCUCCAAAUUCCCCAGAAGCAUUAUUAAUCAGCAUGGCAAGCCGUUAAAAAAAGAAAGAAAGAAAAAGGAUGCCAGACUGUCUGGAAGGAAAGACUGAGCAAGAGGCAUGUUGCUGUAACAUGAGCAGACCAUUCUAUCAUCAAUGCAGUCCUAGAGGGCUCUGGUUUUAGCAUUUAUCAGCAUCAAGAACAUCCCAAAGUUUACUGAGCCAUGAGUGAUAGCAAAGUGAACACUUAAAUGCAAAGUAUCCGAGGAUUAUGCUGCCAAGCGUAAGAGGUUGCCAUGCUGAAUCAAGGAGUGUGCCGCAAGCACUUUGACUGCUGGUCUGUAAAACCCUACAUGCAAAUAGCCAAGGGCUGUACCAGAAGAUAAGAGCAGCAAGGCUGUGUUCAAAGGCAGGGGAGAGGAAGGUACUUAUGGCCAAGAGGAAGUCAGAUAAUGCUAACACAGCACACUUGGAAAAGCCAUUUCGUAUUACUGCAUCUGCUCUGCAGCACCUAUGGGCAGCAGAGGGAGGCAUGUUUUGUUCUCUCUUUCUUCCAAAAUAGGAAAUAAUCUGUAUUUUCAAAUUAUUUAUAUUGUCUUAAUUAAAAUUUAUAUGAAGCUUAAGACAUGUUCACUAUUAACCCAAUUUUAAUGAUAACAUAGAAGAUUGUAAUAGUCAAGAUUGAACAGUCAGUCACGUUGCUGGUAAGAGAUACCAGAACAGUGGAUCUGACUCCAAGUUCCUUUAGCACCAAGCUACAUUAAUUUCAUUAAAACUUGAGUUGCCCCGGGGUUUCUAAUCUCAGUAGUAUCUCUACUAAGUCCAAAGCCUUUUAUUUUCCAAGUCUACACUUCACCUACUAUUGAAUCUGGUGAUAGAUUUUUAUUAAAAUAAAUAUAGAUCCUUCCUUUCUAAGAAACACUGAAGUGAAAUUAUUUCUCUAUAAUGGUUCCCAUCUAGAAAAAAAAAAAAAAGCAUAUUCCUCAGACAUAAAUACUUUCUGAGCACCCACCACCUGCACCAUACUGUGUUAGCACUUGCUGAACUCACUAAAAUCUGAUAGUUUGUGGAAUUCCCAACAGCAAUAUAUUUCUCUCAAACCAACGAAAGUAGACAUUCAUAACCUUUCAGGGUUACUCAUAACCUAUUUGUGUUUACUUUUAAGAGGUGUACAGACACAAGAUUAUUCCAUUUCCUUCUGUGCUGUUCAAGGAGAGACGGUAUGAGCCCAGCUUCCGGAUGUUGAAUCAUAUGACUUGAACCAGAGGUCAGGUAAAGUGGUGGUCAACUUCAGGUUCCAACCUGCAAAACAGCCCACCUCUGGAAGCCUAGUCAUUCAGGGAGGUGAGCGUGCCAGACACCACAAACCCAGACUUGCUGGUAGAGGCCCCUCAAGCCAAACAGCAGCACAGCCAGUAAAGGGUGGUGGGAGGUAGAAAGCAAGCUCGAGGCUGGCAAGGGGGCGGAGUGAGUCACUUCUUUGAUGUGGAGUGGUUAUUACAAACACAGCAAAGGUGAGCAAGCAUUUCCUUCCCCUGACUACUGUGACUACUGGUGUAGGAAACUGAGUCAUGGGCUAGGACAGCUUUAGAGUUGCAGGAGAGGAAAAUUCUUAUUUAUAGUCUAACAUCAAUUUUACUAAGAUGCAUUUUGUCAAUCUGGUAAAUCUGCAGUCUGCCUUAUGUGGAUAAGCCAGUUUCCUACUUAUUUGCAAAAUAUUUUCUCACUGUUCUUUUCUUAGUAAAGAUGCUCUUUGAGAGUUGUAUACACUCAACCUGAUCCUUUAUAGGUAAUGAUUAUUUAAAGAAAUGCAUUCAUUUUGUAAUUUCAACACUAGGAAGGUAGAGACAGGAAGAUCAGAAGUUCAAGGUCAUCCUCAGAUAAAAGGCAAGUUCGAGGUCAGCCUCACCUAUAAAAGAACCUGUCUAAGAAAAAGGAGAUGGGAGGAAGAAAGAGAAGAAGAAAGAAAAGAACAUAAAUUCUUAACAAUACAUCCAAAAUGUUGGCUCACAUCAGUCAGAAUAAUGAUAUAAGACUUUCAGAGAAAGUAUCUGUGUGAAUUAUUGCAUUUCCUUCCCUAAGACCAGGCUUAAUAUUACCUCCUUUCAUCUCUUUUAUAAAUAUAUAUUUUAAUUUCCUAACCAGCAAAAAAAAAAAAAAUGCCUAAGUUUAAACACUAUUUACCUGAAGCAGAACAGAGCAAGAGGGUCUAUUCUGAGUAGAGUACAUUGAUUUCCUUGUUAUCGUUGGUUAAGAAUUUCAUCAAAUUGCAGGCCCUAAACUAGCCCGGUAUUUAUAAGUCAGCCAUAGUUUGGUGUUCUUAGUUUUGCCUGGCUAGGGCACUAUACUCACAGAAACGCUCUGUGAUUUUAUGAAUGAUUAUAUUUGUUACUUUUUACAUCACUGUCACAAACUUCCUAGCAGAAAGGACUUGAGGGAGGGUUUAUUUUGGCUAGGGACGGCCUGGUGUGGGGCAGGGGAGGCACAGGGCCAGGUGGUUCGCCUGCGAUAAUUGGAGUUUGCAGCAAAGCUUGCUUACAUCUUAGAAGAACAGGAAACAGCUUGUUAGAGCCAAAUACAGAGGGGAGUGCAGUUUCCAAAGACAGAGCCACUUCUGCUCACUGGGCCACAGUACCACAGGUUCCACAACCUUCUAAAACAGUGAGUUGUCUGUGGCAAUGCUGAAAUAUGUGAACCUUACCGCAACAGAGACAUCAUUUGUUUAUUUGACUUUAUUAGAAAAAGACUAGAUGUUCACUGCUGGAACCGUAUCAUCACUCCUUCCUUCCACGGUGCCACAAAAUCUUCAGUGUAAAUAAAUCACAAAUUGAAAGCUCAAAUCACAGAAGAAAAAAAAUGAUGGCUUAUAGACUUAUCCAUUUUCUUAUUAAUUGUUAAAAGUAAUAAUAGUAAUAAUGCCAGAGUCUGCUAUAGCCAUCAGGAAUAUAGCAAAACCAAAUAGGAACUCACAGGGAAAAAAAGCAACAUUUGUUUAUGUUAAUGGUGGUAAGUGCUUUUUAGCAAAACCAAUUAACAGAAGGGUAAGGAGCAGGAAGAAGGGGUGUAAUUUCAAAUGGGGUGACCUGGGAAGUCUCACUAAGAAGGUUGCAUCACAAUUACGGUAAACUUGACCCUCAGUAACUACUGAAAUCCAGAAAUUGUUCUGGACUGAUGGUGAAAUCCACAAGGUUUGAAAAUGAUCAAGUGACCUACAUGAGGACAAUUUUCUCUUGCAUUAGGAAUUAUAUCUUACCCACACCUUAUGACUCAGAAGGUAUUAAUUUUUAUCUUCCUAACUCUGGUAGCCAAAUGUUAGGAUUGAGUCAGGCAAAUAUUUCCCAAAUGAGUUGUAGAAUGUACCCUUACUCACGAUAGCACCACUAAAACCAGCAGACGUGUUCCUGGGCGGUAGAAACUUGUGUCUGAGACAUUUGCAUAUUUAGAGGUGUUUUUAUUCCUUUAAAAGAACAUGACUGAGAAUCACUUUUAUAGCUAACAAGAGCCAGAGUAACUCAUGUUAAAGAAUAGGAUUUAAUUGAUAGUUUAGAAGUUGAAAACUUCUGAGUAAAAGCUAGCCCCAAAGCAUUUCAUGGUGAAAAAAAAGUUUCAUAAUUUCCUUAAAAAUAUUCCAGAUGAUAACUGAUUGAACUUUAAAAUAUUGGCUUUGGUAUAUUUUUUUCCUCCCACGAAGAAAAUGCUUGUAAGAGCAAAAAAUCCAUUCUAAGUGGCUCUGAGGGAGUUCAUGUUUUGUUUAAGAAUUGUGGUUUCUCUUGGCUAGCAAACAUACAGAAAUAGUUUCCCUGGUGUAAAACAUUAGAAUGACAGACUCUUGUUGGGAAUGGAUAGAAAUAGACAUAAUUACAACUGUAACUACAGGGAAAAGAAGGCAAAUGAUCAAACAUUUAUUGGGCUUAAGCACAGUAAAUUGUCAACUCCAAAAAUCAUGAUUUGUUUAAUAAAAGUCAAUACCACUGCAUUCAUGUCCAAAUCUAGAGAAAAGAGACUUGGAGCCAGAUUGGUACACUGGGAGUUUGUUGGCACUGCUGCUGAGAGGGACGAGCCCGAGAAAAUGAAAGUAGAACUUGGCAAACAAGAAUGGAUCCUGCAGUUCAGUAGUCCAAAGCCAACAGCCAGUCCCUUGUAGAAUUUUGAAGGUGGGAUGACACUUCAACAUUCUGCUCAGCUGAGACAAGCGGUUCCCUUUGACCAAAGGCAUAUCUGAGGCUGGGAAUUUAUCCGUGACUUGUUACCAGCCAAUGUGGCAGCCAGGACAUGAAUUCCAUGGCUGUGAAAGAGAACUUGGAAGACCUCAGCAUCUGCAGCAGACAGUACGGCUUCAUCUCUGAUACAAGAAUGGUGAAAGAUGCACGGACUUCACUGUGUCGCUGCAUAGGUUGGAGUGUGGGGUGGCAUGCCCUUUCAAAACUGAAAAUCUGGAACCACAUUGCAGUCUGCGUGUUUAUUAAAGGCAGGUACAGCUAGCAACCCCACUUGGUCUGGUACAAAAGGAAACGCAGGUUCUCUUGUUCAAAAGGAGGAAGAAAGAUGCUGCUGAUGGUCCCAAGGCAUACAUUUUCUAUUCCUUCUUGAUGGGUGCUCUACAUUUUAGGAUGUUUCAUUUGCUAUUUAAUGCUGUUCUAGAUAAGAAAAUUUUACUUUAAAAUCGCAUUUAGGAUUUGUGCUAAGUGAGGUAUAAUCUGAUCUUACCAGAAAACUGAACAAGGAAGCUGUGUGAAGAGUAGAGAGGGGGGUGGGAGACAAACAAACAAAAAGGUGUGUAAGAGUAGGGGGUGGGAACAGACAGGUAUGUUAACUUUAUUCAUACGGUGAUUUUUUUUUUACUUUCUAUACAUAAUCUGCAAUAUUUUUUACAUGCCUUAAAUACACACAAAAAUAAUUUUUAAAAUUCAUGUAUAAAAGGCAGACAGCUCGUAUAGGCUUGUGCAUUUUAUUCUUGCUUGAACAGGGAAAGUGGAUGUUUAGUCAAUUGUUGUAUUUAGUGUCCUCAUAGAAUCAUAUUUUACUAGUACUCUCUCCUUUCAACUUUGUAAUUAAAUGUGGACUUAAAAGCAACUCUGGAUUGUCAUAGCUCUUCCUUUCCUUUCUUGCCAUAAUUUUUAGUGUAAAUGUCUGGCUUGUAUGCAGACAACACAAGCACAGACAGAUAUGAUAGUGUUUCUAGGGUACUAUGUGUGCAUGUUUUUCCUAACUGUGGAUGUACUGUGUCCAUCCAUCCUUCAUUACCAAGACUAUGCCCUCAAACUAUGAGCCAAAAUAAAUGCUUCCUGCCUUAA
Molecule: non-coding RNA, 5830 nt
Organism: Cricetulus griseus (Chinese hamster)
Lineage: Eukaryota; Metazoa; Chordata; Mammalia; Rodentia; Cricetidae
Source: RefSeq, a predicted model, not a curated record